AUGGGGACUUAUAAUGGCCGACAGGGCCCUUUUCCCUUUUUAGGUAGUAAAUGACUUUUUGUCAGAACGGGGAUAAAAACUAAGACGCGAAGAUUUAUGGAGCCUAGACACAAAACAGAUCAUGUCAAACACUUUUAAAUAAAAGAGCAAACUAAACGAGCUUUGUUUAAACUCUGGGUUGGGGCG
This 186-nucleotide ribosomal RNA is filed under the name Arothron hispidus (white-spotted puffer). RNAcentral's name for it is "partial large subunit ribosomal RNA". Lineage: Eukaryota; Metazoa; Chordata; Actinopteri; Tetraodontiformes; Tetraodontidae. The record is from RNAcentral.